CCUAUAGCACGUCAAGCAUGCUCUUGCCUCAGCGCAUUAGAACUUGCUAUCUCCUCUGUCUUGAAAAUUCUUUCACUAGAUAUCCACAUGGCUCACCCUUAUCAAGUCAAUUUCAGUUUUUGCUCAAAUGUCCCUUACCAAUGAGUCCUUCUCUGACUAAUAUCUAAAAUAGCAGCCACCUGACACCACUGUCUAACCCUGCUCUGUUCUUCAAAGCACACGUAUGUUUUUCUGUCUCCAUACACUACAAAGAUCCUUGAGAACAAGGAAUUUUUUUGUUUACCACUCAACAAGCACCUAGAUGAGUGCCUCACCUGGCAUAUAGUGAGAGUUCAACGAAUAUUUUUGAUUGAAUACUAAAUUACAGGAGGGAAGGACAGGAUAGAAACACACGUAGAUUUCUAGAUUUUAGGGCAUCCUCCAUUUUUCUGUUACUUAUACAGUAGGAUAAUCAGGGGAAAGAGUAUGGGAAGUGUGGGGUUAGAGAUCUGCAGACAGUGGAGAGCAAGUUAACUAGAAAAAUAUAAUGAAAUUUCCUGGCACUGUUCAGAGCCCAUUUAAGGCUGAAAUUACUAAUUUAGUGAUGCCAAACUAUUCAGCAGGACAAUUUUCUGUGACAGAGUACAGACAUGAAGAAGCAUGUUGGUCCAUUCAGGGCAGAGGAUUUGGCUGGGGAAAAGGUAGUACUGGGGCAGGCUUAAGAAUAAGUAAGAGCAGGAUUGUAAUGAUGUACCUUGAAUCUAAAAUGGAUAAGGAGGGAAGUGAGGAGUGAGGAUUAAGUACAGGCUUUCAACAGAUUGGAGGUUCUGAUUAAGUGAAAAAACAGUUAUGGUGAAGUUCUUGAGCAGUCAAGCUUAAAGGAUAUCAGGCUGUGAUUGGACAGAGGGAUGUUCUAAUUACUGAAUCGUGAUGCGAUAGCGGUUCUGGUGACAAGGUCCAGGGUUUUGACUGGGAUUGGGAGGCUGACAUAAGGGUCCUUAGAGAUGAGGCUCGGACGUUAAAUGAGUUGUCCACAUUGACUCUGAAAUUAUCAGGAUGGAAGAUGGUUAGAGGAGAGAAAGUAAGACAAGGAGCUGGAUGCACAAAUAAGCAGAUGAUCUCUACACUGGCAGCUGACAAAGUCUAAAAAGUAAGCGUCAGAGAGGCAAAGGUUUUUACAAGAGGCGACAGUACUGGGCACGCAGCCCCUCAUCUUUGGAACCUGGGAAGUGAGAAUACUAAUCCAUAAGAAGGGGUUCCAGGGAAUGCUGCACCCUCAGGGGACGGCCAGGUCUCCGUCCAAGGAGUG
Molecule: long non-coding RNA, 1288 nt
Filed under: Equus caballus (horse)
Lineage: Eukaryota; Metazoa; Chordata; Mammalia; Perissodactyla; Equidae
Description: lncRNA (ENSECAG00000046184.1)
Source: RNAcentral